Rhodamnia argentea is the source of this 267-nucleotide long non-coding RNA. RefSeq lists it as uncharacterized. Lineage: Eukaryota; Viridiplantae; Streptophyta; Magnoliopsida; Myrtales; Myrtaceae. The transcript is spliced from 3 exons. The record is from RefSeq and is a predicted model, not a curated record.
AAGAUAGCCGGCGUGUCAUAUGCCCACAUGGAGAUUCAUUUGAAGAAGCUACGUAUGUCGUGCGGGAACUUAAUAAAAUAGUGAAUAACUAUUGGAGGGGGCCGUGGAUUAGUUAUAGUAGCGCUCCAAGAGAAGUAAAAGAUUUGUGGUGGAACGAGUUCAAGGCACAUGAAUUGGGGACAGAACCGACGUAUGUAGCUACAUUCGAACGCACAUUUCAAAAGAAAGAUAAGACAUGGAUUGGCGACCGAGCCAAAUCUGUUAAGG